RNAcentral lists this small RNA (561 nucleotides) under Pan troglodytes (chimpanzee). RNAcentral's name for it is "retained intron". The record is from RNAcentral. Lineage: Eukaryota; Metazoa; Chordata; Mammalia; Primates; Hominidae.
CGACGCCGGCUGCUGCCAGGCCCCGGAGCAGCCCCCUCAGCCGCUCUGCCCUCCGCCCUCUUCUCCCACCUCCGAAGGUGCCCCCACCGAAGCUGGCGGGGACGCUGUCCGAGCCGGGGGCACCGCCCCCUCGUCCGCCCAGCAGCAGCAUGAAUGUGGCGACGCGGACUGUCGGGAGCCCCCCGAAAACCCCUGCGACUGUCACAGGGAGCCGCCCCCCGAAACCCCAGACAUCAACCAGCUGCCGCCGUCCAUCCUGCUCAAGAUAUUUUCCAAUUUGUCACUGGAUGAGCGUUGCCUUUCCGCAUCAUUGGUUUGCAAGUACUGGCGUGACCUUUGUUUAGACUUCCAGUUUUGGAAGCAGCUGGAUCUUAGUAGUCGUCAGCAGGUCACUGAUGAAUUGUUGGAAAAAAUUGCAUCAAGAAGUCAGAAUAUAAUUGAAAUCAACAUUUCUGAUUGUCGCAGUAUGUCUGAUAAUGGCGUAUGUGUUUUAGCAUUUAAAUGUCCUGGACUUCUUAGGUAUACAGCCUACAGGUGUAAACAGCUUUCUGACACCUCUAU